RNAcentral lists this long non-coding RNA (807 nucleotides) under Scophthalmus maximus (turbot). Its description in RNAcentral is "lncRNA (ENSSMAG00000036799.1)". The record is from RNAcentral. Lineage: Eukaryota; Metazoa; Chordata; Actinopteri; Pleuronectiformes; Scophthalmidae.
CAUUAACGCUGACAAUAAACCGGAAGUAGACGAAGUAGAAGUGGGAGGUCCCGUACCGGGAAAAAAAAGGCGGCAAGACUGUUGCAUUUAAAAUGCGCGGGAUACCUGCGCUGCUUCACAUUCACACGGAGCUGUAGUUGUUGGAGUGUUGGAGAUCCACCACUACAUUACAGGAUAAAUCCUGGAAACCUCUGGUUAAAAAUGGAACAGAAGUUGGAACAAAUUGACAAAACUGUUGAGGUACAGAUUUUCUCCUGUGUAAUGAAAAGUACACUCAAGUCAUACUAGUUUAAUCAAAGAUGUAAUAAUGAAUUACAGAGUUUCUGGUCUUGCCCAUUUCAUCCAGCUCCAUCUUACAAACAGGAAAAAAACAAAAGCCUAAGCAUGUGUCUCUUUCCUACAGAUGGAAAAAAUGGAGAACCCGAAUGUGGAGAUCAGUCAAUCCAGUAAUUCACCACUUGUUGCAAAUGGUUUGUCAUAUUUCAUUUUAGCCAGAAUAAACUAUAGAUUAUUUAAUUGAGAGUUGCUUCUCUCUCUCUCUCUCUCUCUCUCUCUCCUAUAUAUAUAUAUAUAUUUAUUUCAGUAAUUGUUAACAUUUCUUGUUUCAUGAUUGGGGGAAAAUUAUUUGGUAUGUUUGUUUAUAUCUCACUUCAACCGUCUUUUGUGAGACAAGUGGUGUUGCUUUUAACAAAAUAAAAUAUAUUUUAAUGUGAGUGAAUUAAAUAAGAGUUUUUUCUCAUUCUCAGGUAGAGGAGCCACACCCAACCCAUUCUUUUUGUGUGGUGCUUUCAAGGCAAGUUCACGUCU